GUUAAGCGACUAAGCGUACACGGUGGAUGCCCUGGCAGUCAGAGGCGAUGAAGGACGUGCUAAUCUGCGAUAAGCGUCGGUAAGGUGAUAUGAACCGUUAUAACCGGCGAUUUCCGAAUGGGGAAACCCAGUGUGUUUCGACACACUAUCAUUAACUGAAUCCAUAGGUUAAUGAGGCGAACCGGGGGAACUGAAACAUCUAAGUACCCCGAGGAAAAGAAAUCAACCGAGAUUCCCCCAGUAGCGGCGAGCGAACGGGGAGC
RNAcentral lists this ribosomal RNA (263 nucleotides) under Escherichia coli. RNAcentral's name for it is "partial 23S ribosomal RNA". It matches the Rfam family "Bacterial large subunit ribosomal RNA", at positions 1 to 265 of the family's 2925-position model. Lineage: Bacteria; Pseudomonadati; Pseudomonadota; Gammaproteobacteria; Enterobacterales; Enterobacteriaceae. The record is from RNAcentral.